This 76-nucleotide transfer RNA is filed under the name Bacillus subtilis. Its description in RNAcentral is "tRNA-Met". It matches the Rfam family "tRNA". From Rfam's summary of the family: Transfer RNA (tRNA) molecules are approximately 80 nucleotides in length. Their secondary structure includes four short double-helical elements and three loops (D, anti-codon, and T loops). The record is from RNAcentral. RNAcentral also lists the same sequence under 2 other names. Lineage: Bacteria; Bacillati; Bacillota; Bacilli; Caryophanales; Bacillaceae.
GGGUCCUUAGUUCAGCUGGUAGAACGCCCUGCUCAUAACGGGGUAGUCGAAGGUUCGAGUCCUUCAGGACCCACCA